UCACGAAUGACAGUGCAGUGCUCCCUCGGCAGAGUGGAUAACGGACGGUCAGGUAGACCGACCAGUGCCAGUAGCAACCGCUCAUUUUCAUCUGCCGAGGGAGAGCUGCCCUGCCACUCGACG
This 123-nucleotide microRNA precursor is filed under the name Sorghum bicolor (sorghum). RNAcentral's name for it is "pre miRNA mir-399". Lineage: Eukaryota; Viridiplantae; Streptophyta; Magnoliopsida; Poales; Poaceae. The record is from RNAcentral.